This 1015-nucleotide ribosomal RNA is filed under the name Karlodinium decipiens. Its description in RNAcentral is "partial 28S ribosomal RNA". It matches the Rfam family "Eukaryotic large subunit ribosomal RNA", at positions 1 to 913 of the family's 3401-position model. The record is from RNAcentral. Lineage: Eukaryota; Dinophyceae; Gymnodiniales; Kareniaceae.
CAAGACAUGAAGUUAGGUCAGCAAACCCGCUGAAUUUAAGCAUAUAAGUAAGCGGAGGAUAAGAAACUAAAUAGGAUUCCCUCAGUAAUGGCGAAUGAACAGGGAUCAGCUCAGCAUGGAAAUUGGGGCCUCCGGCCUUGAAUUGUAGUCUUGAGAUGGCAUUGCCAGCGGAGGCGCAGAUGUAAGCCUCUUGGAAAAGAGCAUCAAUGAGGGUGAGAGUCCCGUUUGUCAUCUGCAGUCCCCCGUUCACGGUGUGCUUUCUAAGAGUCACGUUCCUUGGGAUUGGAGCGCAAAUUGGGUGGUAAAUUUCAUCUAAAGCUAAAUAUUGGUUCGAGACCGAUAGCAAACAAGUACCAUGAGGGAAAGGUGAAAAGGACUUUGAAAAGAGAGUUAAAAGUGCCUGAAAUUGCUGAAAGGGAAGCGAAUGGAACCAGUGUUUCUUGGCUAGAUUGUUGCGUGCUAAAGUGAUGGCUCGCUGCUUCAACGCAAGUGUUGCAGUGGGUUUUGAUCUGGACGUGCGCGGUGCUUCUGCCUUGUGUGUCAACGUCGGUUCAGACUCGAGGAAAACUCCAGGGACAUGGAUAAUCGCUCCUGGGUGAUUGAACGUGCCUGGCAGAACUCAUUUCUGAACUGAUUCCUGCAUGUCUGGUCGCAGUGCUUUUCACUGCCUGUGUCUCGUUCGGGGUGCCUUGUGUGCUCUGUGCUGGGCCGGGACGUGGAGCAUCUCCCUGACAUAAGUACGAUGACAAAAUGGUUUUAUUCGACCCGUCUUGAAACACGGACCAAGGAGUCUAACAUAUGUGCAAGUUCACGGGUGUUAAACCUGCUUGCGCAAUGAAAGUGACUGCUGGGAUAUUUGCACCAGCAACCGACCAAUCAAUUGUGUGAGGUUUGAGUAUGAGCAUAUCUGUUAGGACCCGAAAGAUGGUGAACUAUGCCUGAGAAGGGCGAAGUCAGGGGAAACUCUGAUGGAGGCUCGUAGCGAUACUGACGUGCAAAUCGUUCGUCAUACUUG